Long non-coding RNA from Gallus gallus (chicken), 1737 nucleotides. The record is from Ensembl. NCBI's taxonomy places the organism in Eukaryota, Metazoa, Chordata, Aves, Galliformes, Phasianidae.
GUCCUGUAUUAGAUUGCAGCCCCGCACCUCUAACCCAGGCAAUAUCCGGAUGCCAUCAGUGACAGUGGAAAUGAGCUGCAGGAACCAUGAGUUAUCUCCACCAGCUUGGCACUACCUUCCCCAAAAUGGUCACUGUGGUCUUCCACAAAUGAGAACCCAACCCACGUCCUCACCUCACGCUGCUCGGCUGCUGCUCUCCCUGUCAUGCCAAGAGUGUGGAGGCGCUGCAAGAGUUAAAGGGAGCACGGACUGCAGGGCAGGCUUGCCGUUAACAGUGAAAGCAGAGAAAAAGCAAUAGCAGAUUUACUUUGGCUCAUGCUACGUUCAGCACGCUGCGCUCUUAGCUCCUUUCACAUUUUAUGAGACAAAUUACCAAAAUUAAGCAUUUCAAAAUGCUGAGAUUAUGAGACGCUUAAAAUCAAAUCUUUACCAGUAUAAAAUUCUUGGAUUUGGGCCAGUUGCUCUGAAGUCUGUUCCUUUCUAGUGCACAUGGUGCUGACCUGCAUGUGCUAUCAGAGAUGUAAAUGCAAAGACUGCAUUCCAUUUCAGUAUUUUACUAUUUUACUAUCACACAGAGCAGGGCAAUGCUACCUUCCUGAUUGUCAGUAUGAUGUCUCUCAUUUACUUCUGCAGUUAAAUACGUUUCAGUACCCUUCUGUGCAAUGCUGAAUUCCUUUCUGAGCUAUCCACUGCCUUUUUUGGUAUGGCUUUUUCCUCAUCUCUUGGAAACACACUUCAAGGUAACGUCCCUGCCAACACGCACAUAGAACUAAAAGCUUGAAUCCUAAGGCACCAAAAGAACUGGAAGAAUGCUUGUGACAAUUUGUGUUCACUUACAUGCAAGUAUCUAGCUUCAGAGGAGGCUUGGACAAGGAAAGCAACACACAAGGAAAUUUGCUAGAAAUUAUGCAGAAGGAAAAAAAUCUCUGAAGAAUAUUUAGAUGUUAUAUUCAUACUAGUACCUCAAGUGCAUACCAAGGUUAAUACGAGUAGCAGUGACUUCCUGUAGGUCCCCAAGGAUCUCCGUGUCCUUUCCAGAAAACAGGAGUGAUUUCUGCUUUCCUUUCCAAAGAUAAGUGUACUCAGCACUUAAGGUGUGUCAUGCCAGAGCUAAGCUGAGUUAGUAAAGGUCAUCAUGAAAAAAUGGGUAGAGGCAUCCCAAAGUUCUCACCUUCCCCUAAUAACAAAAGUUCUUAACAAAAAAGAGUAAUAAAGAUGCUUGUCUGUUAUUUGGCUACAACGCAUUCAUUUUUCACCUCUAUAUUCUCUGGCUUAAGAAAGAGCAGAACAAAAUCCCUCAUCCUGUUUUCCUGAGCAGUUUGGACACUUCCUCCUUCUCUCAUAGAUUUUGAGCAAGACAUAGUGAACAUCUGUCACUUGCAGCAAAUAUUGAUCAGUGUCUGCAUGGCUCCUCCACCUGACCUUCAAUUUGCCAACAAAGUCCUUGUUAUUAUUCUGCAGUUACUUGGAACAGUUAUCCAGUUCCUUUCUCCAGCACAUUUGCCCAGUAAAAGGCACCAUCAGCCUGAGAAGCAAAAAGACAUCUGAGUCUCCCAGAGUGACAAGAGGAAUGGCAACACUGUUAACAUACGCAGCAGUCCAGGGAACAAUUCUUAUUUUUGAUGCAAUAAAUUCGUCCGAAUUUCUAAAAAUCCUGUCAUCAACUAUUGUAUAUCAUCCAGUAUCAUUUAUGAAUUUCUCACUGCAAUCUAUGAGACUUUACAGAAACUUGAAAAA